CCCAGACUCCUACGGGAGGCAGCAGUGGGGGAUAUUGCACAAUGGGGGGAACCCUGAUGCAGCGACGCCGCGUGAGCGAUGAAGUAUUUCGGUAUGUAAAGCUCUAUCAGCAGGGAAGAAAAUGACGGUACUUGAUUAAGAAGCCCCGGCUAACUACGUGCCAGCAGCCGCGGUAAUACGUAGGGGGCAAGCGUUAUCCGGAUUUACUGGGUGUAAAGGGAGCGCAGACGGCAGUGCAAGUCUGGAGUGAAAGGCGGGGGCUCAACCCCCGGACUGCUCUGGAAACUGUACGGCUGGAGUGCAGGAGAGGUAAGUGGAAUUCCUAGUGUAGCGGUGAAAUGCGUAGAUAUUAGGAGGAACACCAGUGGCGAAGGCGGCUUACUGGACUGUAACUGACGUUGAGGCUCGAAAGCGUGGGGAGCAAACAGGAUUAGAUACCCUAGUAACC
Molecule: ribosomal RNA, 448 nt
Filed under: uncultured bacterium
Lineage: Bacteria
Description: bacterial SSU rRNA
Rfam family: Bacterial small subunit ribosomal RNA
Source: RNAcentral